Molecule: ribosomal RNA, 468 nt
Filed under: uncultured bacterium
Lineage: Bacteria
Description: partial 16S ribosomal RNA
Rfam family: Bacterial small subunit ribosomal RNA
Source: RNAcentral
GAUGAACGCUGGCGGCGUGCUUAACACAUGCAAGUCGAACGGAAAGGCCAGUGCUUGCCCUGGUACUCGAGUGGCGAACGGGUGAGUAACACGUGGGUGAUCUGCCCUGUACUUCGGGAUAAGCUUGGGAAACUGGGUCUAAUACCGGAUAGGACAACUUUUUGGAUAUUGUUGUGGAAAGCUUUUGCGGUAUGGGAUGAGCUCGCGGCCUAUCAGCUUGUUGGUGGGGUAAUGGCCUACCAAGGCGUCGACGGGUAGCCGGCCUGAGAGGGUGUACGGCCACAUUGGGACUGAGAUACGGCCCAGACUCCUACGGGAGGCAGCAGGGGGGAAUAUUGCACAAUGGGCGCAAGCCUGAUGCAGCGACGCCGCGUGGGGGAUGAAGGCCUUCGGGUUGUAAACUCCUUUCGCUAGGGACGAAGCUUUUUUGUGACGGUACCUGGAGAAGAAGCACCGGCUAACUACGUG